This 253-nucleotide ribosomal RNA is filed under the name uncultured bacterium. Its description in RNAcentral is "partial 16S ribosomal RNA". It matches the Rfam family "Bacterial small subunit ribosomal RNA", at positions 524 to 776 of the family's 1533-position model. The record is from RNAcentral.
UACGUAGGGGGCAAGCGUUGUCCGGAAUUAUUGGGCGUAAAGCGCGUGUAGGCGGUCCGGUAAGUCGGCUGUGAAAGUCCAGGGCUCAACCCUGGGAUGCCGGUCGAUACUGCCGGACUAGAGUUCGGAAGAGGCGAGUGGAAUUCCCGGUGUAGCGGUGAAAUGCGCAGAUAUCGGGAGGAGCACCAAUGGCGAAGGCAGCUCGCUGGGACGUUACUGACGCUGAGACGCGAAAGCGUGGGGAGCAAACAGG